CAGUUGGAAACGACUGAUAAUACCGCAUAAGCGCACAGUAUCACAUGAUACAGUGUAGAAAAACUCCGGUGGUACAAGAUCGGUCCCGCGUCUGAUUAGCUUGUUGGCGGGGUAAUGGCCCACCAAGGCGACGAUCAGUAGCCGACCUGAGAGGGUGACCGGCCACAUUGGGACUGAGACACGGCCCAAACUCCUACGGGAGGCAGCAGUGGGGAAUAUUGCACAAUGGAGGAAACUCUGAUGCAGCGACGCCGCGUGAGCGAUGAAGUAUUUCGGUAUGUAAAGCUCUAUCAGCAGGGAAGAUAAUGACGGUACCUGAGUAAGAAGCUCCGGCUAAAUACGUG
RNAcentral lists this ribosomal RNA (344 nucleotides) under uncultured bacterium. Its description in RNAcentral is "bacterial SSU rRNA". It matches the Rfam family "Bacterial small subunit ribosomal RNA", at positions 147 to 507 of the family's 1533-position model. The record is from RNAcentral.